Oncorhynchus tshawytscha (Chinook salmon) is the source of this 344-nucleotide long non-coding RNA. The record is from Ensembl. Lineage: Eukaryota; Metazoa; Chordata; Actinopteri; Salmoniformes; Salmonidae.
AGGGUGUGUGUGUAGGGUGUGUGGGGUGUGUGUGUAGGGUGUGUGAGGUGUGUGUGUAGGGUGUGUAGGGUGUUUGGGGUGUGUGUGUAGGGUGUGUAGGGUGUGUGUGUAGGGUGUGUAGGGUGUGUGUGGGGUGUGUGUGUAUGAGAGCCAGGUGUAUGCAGGGUGUGUGUGUAGGGUGUGUGGGGUGUGUGUGUAGGGUGUGUGGGGUGUGUGUGUAGGGUGUGUGGGGGUGUGUGUGUGUGUAUGAGAGCCAGGUGUAUGUAGGAUGUGUCAGUCUUGUGUGUGUGUGUAGGGUUUGUGGGGUGUGUGUAUGAGAACCAGGUGUAUGUAGGGUGUGUAGG